AUUGAACGCUGGCGGCAGGCCUAACACAUGCAAGUCGAACGAGUGGCGGACGGGUGAGUAAUGUCUGGGAAACUGCCUGAUGGAGGGGGAUAACUAAUGGAAACGGUAGCUAAUACCGCAUACCAUCAGAUGUGCCCAGAUGGGAUUAGCUGGUGGGUGGGGUAAAGGCUCACCAAGGCGAAGAUCUCUAGCUGGUGUGAGAGGAUGACCAGCAACACUGGAACUGAGACACGGUCCAGACUCCUACGGGCGGCAGAAUGGGGGAAUAUUGCACAAUGGGCGCAAGCCUGAUGCAGCCAUGCCGCGUGUAUGAAGAAGGCCUUCGGGUUGUAAAGUACUUUCAGCGGGGAGGCGUUACCCGCAGAAGAAGCACCGGCUAACUCCGUGCCAGCCGCCGCGGUAAUUC
This 406-nucleotide ribosomal RNA is filed under the name uncultured bacterium. RNAcentral's name for it is "partial 16S ribosomal RNA". It matches the Rfam family "Bacterial small subunit ribosomal RNA", at positions 30 to 526 of the family's 1533-position model. The record is from RNAcentral.